GCCCGGGUUUGGGGGUGGGCUCGCGCCCCUCCCGGCCCGGCUUCUGCAACUUUGUACCUUCUCUGCAGUUUCUGGGGAGGACCGUAGAGAGUGCUCGGUGCUUUACCCUCGUGGUCCGGGAAGCUUAGGACUGGCGGGCUUCGGGUUCCCUGACUGAUUGGGCACAGUAACGUUUCAGUCCCUCCAAAAUGUUAAUAAAUGAAGCGCGCAUUGGUGUCUGCUGUAGAAUUGGUGUUGAAAACCUGGUAAAGUGGCUUCCCUGCUCUCUUUUUUUCUUGGACGAACUAGUGGGUGUGGUGCUAGAAGCAAGGGCGCAAAGAUGAAAAGCCCGAAGACCCUUUUCUCUUUUCACACUACGUUUGGAAGAGAACACUACCUCUGGAGCCCCUGGGCGGGGAGACCGACCCAGCCCAACCUGCCUUCCAGGGGAAGAAACUGAGGCAUGGAGAAUGGAGACUUGCCUGAGGUUGCACAGGUUAGGUGUGCUGGAACUGGGACCUGGAAGCAAUCUUUGACCUCUGCUCUCUCACGUGGUAGGUUCACCCUCAACGCCCUAUACUUGAAACCACCGGGCUCCUGCUCCCUCACUGUGGGCUGCUCUUCUUCACUUUUGGCCAUGUCCGUGCCCCUUCUCCUGUCUCUUCUUCUAGCCUCCUGUCUCUGGCCUCACCCACAUCCUCCCUGCCUCUCCCAGGGCCUGGAUGGGCCUCUCAGGGUAGGCGGCCUGGGUCUUGAAGACUUCCAACUGUGACCCAAGGCUCUGGAGGGGCUGCUCACUGCCUUUAUUGGUGCUAGUCAACGCGGAUGUUAUUUAUUGUCAAAUAAACGUAUUUCCAAAUAAAACAGAAAACAAGCAAAUAACUGUGGUGACAGAGCUGUAAAAAACCCUGCCAUCUCGCUCACUUGAAGAAAAGCAUGCGCAACUAAUUAACCCGGGCAGGCCUCCGUGGUGUUUGGAAACAAGCUUGGAAUUAAUACCGCCCUUCUCAGUAGCUGGAGCCAGCCUCUAAAUCUUGAUUGGGCAGCAGCAAGAGAGAGACACAGAGAGUUAUAGAGACAGUGAGCCACCAAGAUGGAAGAAGACAGAAAGACAGAGCAAGAUAAAUACAGUUAUCCAUCUGCCUCCAUACCCAGAUAUAUCAUCUUCACUGGACUCUAGAUUCUAGAAAGACAGACAGACAGAGUGAGAGGUAAGAGGAGGAAAUUGAGUCUUUGUUUAGCUCAGAGGACAUCUUCUGUCUAACACCACUAAAGUCAGAGAAUCACGGGCUUCUGGACUGGAAGGGGUUUAUGAGAGGUCAUCAAAUUCAGCGGUUUUAAAGUUAUUUUUAGCAGCAAAUCCCCUUCUUGAAGUGAAAUCACACACAGCAGUGUAAUGCGUAAAGCAGAUAAAAGUGCAGCGCUCCCGUUGGAGCUUGUUCCUCCUCGCAGCCCCUCCCUGCUUCCCUUCAAUGGGCAGGGGGUGUCCUCAAGAUGCUCAGGGCUGGGGACGGCACAGUUGGAAAACUACAGCUGCCUGGCCUCUGUGUGGCAGGGCUUUGGGAGUGUCCCUUGUUUUUCAGUGGAUUCAGGCUGAGCCUAAUUUGGAGUCACCAGGAGGGGGAGCGUGGUAGAGAGGACCCACCAGCUGGUGAAGGAGGUGGGCUACCUGGGGGAACACCUGCUCUCUUGCCCCUGAACCUAUUGGGUUCUUGAACUCCGAUGUUUACUUUCCCUGGUGACCUUUGUUGGCAGGAGUUGGGAAACAGGCUUGUUGACCUUCAAUGAUGGAGUCUCAGUGGAUGAGCUUUAUGAGUCAUCACUUCAUUCCAGCUUUGCCUCAAGGAGGCUUUGUAUAGCUUCAUGUCAAGUUCAGGAGGGGGCACCCAGAGCACGAGGAGGAUACCUCCCUUCUGUGGAAGAAUAUGGACUGUUGCUGGAAGGGGACUUCCCUAUAGGCCAUCCCAGUAUGCCCUGUUGGGAUGACUGGUGAUCUACAGGGAAAUCAUGCUCUGUAUAUUUCUUUCUUCUUGUAGAGGAAGGAGAGGCAGUGCCUGAGGCUGGAAACCAUCCAGUCCAGUGGCACCAUGGGGAUUUGUCUGGUCUUCUCUGGGGAGGUUGUCACUUGCUUCUGGAGGCCCUGUUCUUAGCAGAGUCCCGAGUUUGGGUGGAAAGACCUCUCUGGAAAGCAGUGGUGAGUACAGGAGAAGGGUGGAGAGAGCGAUACCAGGCACUGUGUUUGGAGCCUUCCCGUCUCCGAUUAACCCUGAGUGCCCUUGGCUCAGGCCUAGACAACAAGGGGCGCGGUAAGGAGGAGAAAACACAAAUCAAGAAGUACUGCUUUUUUUGAAAGAGAAAUUAUAAAUUGCAAUUUAAUCACAUAAUCACUUUGACACUCUCAAGCAAGCUAAUUUCUUCCCUUGCCUCAUUUCAUCUACUUGGUGAGAUGAAUCUUAAUGAAUAAUGUCCUAUGAAUAUUUAAUUUUUGAUCAAUUUGAAUUUUCUCUGGCAUACCUGCUAGAGACAUAAAUCAGCUCCUCUUCUACCCAGCAGAGUGAGUUUGGACAGCGGCUUUUGUGGAUCUGUGCCUAUGGCCACAGAAGUGGCCUGCCUGAAGGUUUUUGGGUUCUGGUUUGCCACUCUCUUAAUAUCAUUACUCACACCUCCCUGGACACCUUCUCUAAGCUGCGUUCUCUCAUACUGCCCCACCAGCAGGUGCCUGAAGCCAAUGGCUGCCCAGGUGGGUGAGAUGCAUCUGAAAAUGACUUUCUGUAGGUCCUCCCUCUUGCUCCAUCCUUUUUCUUCAAUCACUUAAAGAUGUCUCCCUCCUGAUACUAUCUUUCCUGGCCCCUGAGGACAGAUGUUAUUAUUUAGAAGACAAGUAUCUAAUAAGCAACAUUGGGAGAAGUACCAUUUUCAACUGUUGGAGAAGGAUUUUUUUGAGGAGAUAAUAUUUGAUACUUAGACAGUGUUGUACAGUUUGCAAAGUGGUUUCACAUACCUCGUUUAUUUUCAUGUCUUAAAACAUCCCUUUGUUUGAUCUCUCUUUCCUGACUCUGAUGUGAGGGAAUGGGGCUGGAGAGAGCUCUUUCUUACUCUGGGUCAAGAGGGUAAGUAUAGGAAUUUCCACCCUGGAAGGACUGCCAAGCUCAAAAACAUGGAAAUGGGUCCAAACAGAGCCACCUAUAAAGAGGGAAGAUUGAGUGGGACUGGGACCUGGAGGAAGAAAGAGGAGUAUCCUUAAUAGAUGUGGAAAAUGAGGCCUGGAGAGGAUAAGUGAUUUGCCUAAGAGGUACAGCCAGAGGUAAGCUCUGUUUGCUUACAUCCAAAGUCAGCGUUCUGCCAUCUGCAUUGAAGUGCCAUAAUGGCCCGAGUCUGCCUCCCUGUCCCCUCCAUCACUGGAGGAGGCAAUACACAAUCUGUCUUCCCUUUUCUACAUGUUUGCCUUAAGUAAAUUUGAGAAAGCUGUCAUGUCACUUUUAAGUUUUGUCUUCUUCAGGCUAAGUAUCCUCAACUAUUUGUUAAAUCAUAUGACAUUGUUUCCGGGCAUCUCAACAUCUUGGCCUCCCUCUUCUGGACAUGCUUGUUGGUUAAUGUCUUCAUGAUGUAUUGUAUUCUGUACCCUAGAUUCAGAACUUGAGGCAUUAAGAACCUCUCUUGGCAGUGUACUGUCAUGGUUUAAGAGCACAGGCUUUGCAGUUAGACUGAUCUGGGUUCAAAUACUGGCUAUACCCAAUUUGCUAGCUGUGUGAUUGCAGCAGAUUGCAAUUUCCAAAGAUGGGUGCCACAAUAUACCUCAUCCCAUUUGUUCUCCUUGCAAUGUGACAACGUUCUUUGUAUGAAGUGCUGGGGUCUGUGUUCCUUCCUGUUGAUCCUGGGCAGGCCUUUGUGACUGCCAUGACCAAUGAAAGGUGGCAGAAGUGAUGCUCUGUGACUUCCAAGGCUAGAUCAUAAAAAUGCCAUGCACUUCCACCUUAUUCUCUUUGGAAUUCAGUCAUAUUUUGUGAAGAAGACCAAAUUGACCCAAGUGGAAAGCCCAUAUCGAGAGGCUACGUGUAUGUGUUGAAGUCCUAGCCUAUAGCCACUGUCAACCACUGGAUAUGUACUUGUAGCGAGGAAGUCUUUGAGACUUUGAGCCACCGUCUGACUGUAACCUCAUGAGUGACCUCAAGUAAGAAUCACCCAGCUGAGCCAAGUCAAUCCCCAGAAUAAAAUUGUUGUUUUAAGACACUAAGUUUAGGGGUUACUUAUUAUGCAGCAAUAAUCAGAAUGGUGAUCUUAAGCUUUUCUCAAGCUCACUGAGCCUCAGUUUCUUUGUCUAUGGAAUGAAGACUGUGGAAUCUACCUUAGAGGAUUAUUAUGAGAAUUAGAAGACAAUGGAUAUAAACUACUCAACAUGUGUUUGCCACAUAAUGAUUGUACAACAAAUAAUUAAUUAUAAUUAAUGACAUCAUGAAUAAAAUAAGAAGGGGACCUCGGUUGAGACUUCAGAAGGAAGAUUGGGAAACCGAACUUGCUGUGGGGCAACCUCCGGGGACGAAGCUGAGAGCUGGGCCACAGGUUCCAGAUGCGCAGGGGUUGUGACAAGAUUCAGGCAGCAUCCAGCACGAGGAAGACGGUGCAGUGUGGGGAGGCCUUUGCUGCUUGCUAAGUGUGAGACAGCAACACUGAGACUGGAGGUGAGAAGGCAAGACCUUGGUCACACUCGCUGCUGGUUGUUGGGAGGGUGUGGCCAGGACACAGAAACCUUUUGCUGUAAAAUCAAGCAGAGCUGGGGAUUGGCCACUGGGCUGCCCCACAGCAAACCUCAGACGUGAGAGGGGUUUGUGCGAGCAUCCCAGAUAUUCGAGGUCACAGCUGGCAGAGUUAAUAAAGCAACAAGCUGGGGCGCCAGGGAGGAUGUGUGGUUAAAUUCAUGUGUGUGGUGUUUUCUUGUCCUUGGCCCCCCGCCUCAGAAGGCAAAGAGCUCAGGGUCUGAAAGGUACAGCCUGAUGAAGCAAGUGUUUGAAAAGUGCAGGCAACCGUGAACUCAAGUCUUAAAAAGUAAAACUCACUCCCCCCUCCCAAAAAAACCUACCACAACAAAACCCCGUACUCCACCCUCACGUAAUAUGUAUGCUCACUGUAGAAAAAUUAUACGAUAUAAGAAACAAAAAGAGCAAAAUAAAAAUUGCCCACGUUCCUACAACCCAGAGAUAAUCUCUGUUAACAUUUUUGUGUACGUGGAGCUUUCCAGAUGGUAUACGAAAAUAGAGCCAUACUGUGCAUACUGUUUGGUAAACUGCUCUUAUCGCCUAAUGAUAUGCCCUGGACAUCUUUCUAUGAUAUGAAAUAUGCAUCUGCAGUUCUGAGCUUUUCAAAUUGGGGACAUGUAGCCAUGUUCCAGGGCUUCUAUGAAGCUGCAGGAGAACCAUGGUUCAUCACUCCAGAGCAUCAACUUUACUCAGUGGUAAGUCACUUAAAAUAUCAUUUUUAUAUUAAAACAAACCCAGACAUAGUAUGGUGGAGGGUACAAAAUUUGCAUGAAUUUUUAGGAGAAGAUAUGAGACUUUAAAGAAAUGUCUGGCUUGCCUUAUUCUUUUGUACCAUCAUUUUAAACAGCAGGUAGCGUUAGCUCACAGGGAUCAGUGGAACAGGCUGAGUGAGAGGAGGAGGGGGGAGAGAUGUGACAAUUAAGGGGCAAUAGGUGCCAAGGGCCAUUUCACGAGGCACAGAGUCCCUCACCCGAGGAUCUGGAGAGCAACGUGGAUGUCUUGAUGUCAUGCUUGGCCUUUAGGGCCCAGGCCUGAGUGAGUGGCUUAAUUCUAAGUCAUACUUCCCCUACCCUCCCCCUCCGACCUGUUGGCAAAGAGCAGUUGUAGGCUGGGGUGGCAUUAGGUUAGGACAAUGUGGCUGUACCAGACAUGGCACUCGGAGCUAACCCAGUAACUCCAGAGGUGGACUGAAUCGUGCAUAGCUUUGCUAUUUCUGUCCCAGCUCUGCUAUUAAGAAGCUCUGUGACCACAGGCCACUUACUUACCUUCUCUUUGUUUCAGUUUUGUCAUCAAUAAACUAGUGAUAAAAGUAGCAGCUCAUAGGUUCAUUGGGGCAUUAAAAGAGUAAAGUACAAUUCUUAGAGUGUCACUUGGGACAUAGUAAGCAUUUACUAUAUGUUAAUUAUUAUUAUUAUGUAAUCUAUGAUUGCAUAAGCUGCUCAUGGUAAAUGUGUCCCACUCUUGUUUCAAACAGAGCUUAUGGCUAAUUGAAACUCUUAGAUCUUUUUCAUUGGAAUUGUUAUCAAGCUUAUAUUCUCCAUGCUGUUAUUAGUUUUUAAUUGUGUGGCUUAUUAAUGCUCAUUUUCUUAAUUGUGGCCUAUUAUUCUAGCCUGUGUUAGUUAUCUAACAACUAAGUCUUCCUUUCCAGAGUCACUCAGGUUUCAUGUUCUAAUGGCAUUUACAAUUUUAUGUCCCUAUUUUACAGAAGGAAAAACUGAGGGAAGGGAACUACUGCCUUCUGAGUGUGUCCUUUGUGCCAGACAUUGGGAUAGGUGCUUCGUAUAAGGCAUCUCAGCUAACCCUCAGAACAACUUAGAGAUGCAGGAUUUAUUAUGUCAUUUUAUAGAUGUGGAAGCUGCAGCUCAGAGUACUUGAGCAAAUUGCCCAAGGUUGCCCAGCUAGCUCAGCAUUUUUCUCUUGCAUCAUACUACCUCCUAGUUUUAGGUCAUCUGUAAACUAAAAUGGCAUGCUUCUAUUCAAGUUGUUGUUUUACAUGACAAAGCCAAAGACAGAGACAAAUCACUGGAGAACCCCUUCUAGGUAGGUCUAUGACUGUCACAUCAAUUCCUGAAUCAAUACUUUUUGUACAGGAUCAUUCAGGCACUGAAAAUGGAAUCAGAUGCUGCUAUUGGAAACUAAGGUCUGGAGCUUUGUAAGAGAUCAUAAAGAAACCCCCUUCCAUCACAUCUUUAAGGGAAGGACCCCUCGUCCCAGUUCUUUGCUUAUUCCCUCUCAGCUGAAGUCUGGAUGCUUAUAGAGUCACAUGUCCCGAAUCAAUCCCAGAAAAUGUUCCUUUUCAAGCUGAGUGUGAGAAGCUUUACACAGCAUCCUGGGAACUGUCAGCAUCUGCCUAUAUUUACUCUUGCUGUUGAUUAAAACUGAGAACUGGAGCACCAGGAGUCCAGACUGUAGGCACAGGACUGCUGAUAAGAGGAGAAGGAAUCAACAGCGGUUGCUGGACCAAAAGAAACCCAGCCCCUUCUUUCCCACAGUCACGACCCUAGGCUUGACCUAAGAGCAGUCAGGUCGGGAGAAGAGGAGGGGGAUUUGUCUACUGUAAAUUUCUUCCAGGAUGGUCUCUGCCCCAUUUUGGAUGGAAAGAAGCAGUGGGGUAGGUGGUGGUGUGGAGGCUGUGCCAGUGGGCUCUGGGACUGUGCCCAGGGGCCUGUGGGCUGCAGCAUUAAUUGCACUUUUCUCUAGGGGAGAAGGAAAUAGUGGUGGCCUAAACCCUGAACACUCCGAUUGACUCUUGGAUCUCCACUGAUUAGAGAGAGCUUGAGAAGAAUGAGAGAAAGGGGAGUCGGGAGAGGGUGUGUUUCAUCUCUGUCCACGGAAUGAUGGUUCCAUCUGAGCUUGUGGUCCCCAAACACCCCAGUUCCCAUCCCUGUGGCUACACGGGGGCAGGUGUAUACAGCAGGAUGCUUGGACCUGGAAUAAGCUUGAUCUACGACUCCUCUGUUUGACCCUUCUGGAGGUGGGAUGAUUAGGAUAGUAAUCCUGUGUCUUCUGAUAUGUCCUUCACAUAACUGCUCAAAAUCCUCCCAGGUCCUCCAUUCCACUUAGAAUAAAAUCCAAAGUGCUUCCUGUGGCCCCUGCGGCCCUGCAUGCUCUGGCCUUUGCCUCCCUCUCCAGCCUCACCUCCUACCACAUGCCCUACAGUAGCCUCCAUGCUGUGCUUUGAACAUGCCAAGCAUGCUCCUGCUUCAGGGGCUUCAUGCUUCCUGUUUCCUCUCUUUACAGUUGCUAGAUUUAGUCAAUAAACACACAGGAUGUCCAGUUAACACUGAAGUUCAGAUAAACAAUGAUUCAUUUUUAGCGUAAGUAUGGCCAGUGCAAUAUUUGUUUAUCUGAAUGUCAGAUCUAACUGGGCAUCCUGUACAUUGCCUGGCAACCCUAAGAGCUCUCUGGACAAUGUUCCCUCCGAUUCUCACAUGGCUCAUCCCCUCACUUCUCCAAGUCUCUGCUCUCCUCACCUUGUCUUGCUGUUGCAUCUACAAUCACAGCCCCAUGAAUCUACUCUCGCAGGCUGCCUCGUCUCCUUCAGAGCUCUUAUCACUAUCUGAUGUGCUAUUGUUUGUUUAUUCAUUCAUUUGUUGACUCUGUGUCUUCCCUGGCACAUGUGAACUCCAUAAGGGUGGGAUUUAAGUCUUCACUGUGGUAUCUUCUGUCUCUGGUGUCAUUGUGGGUGCUCGUAAACAUUUGCUGAGUGAUCAAAUGACAUUUUACCAUGGCUCACCCUUUGCGAUAUGGAUCUCAUCUUAGGCCACUCCCCUUUCCACGGGGCACUAGCCAGGCUGACCUCAUGGUCGGUCCUCCAACAUGCUAAUCCCAUUCCUGCCCCAUGGCCUUGGGACUUGCUGCCUGGCAUAUGGCUUCUUCUCCUCUCCUCUUACAUCUCAGAGAAGGCUUCCCUGACCUCUCUAUCUAUCUAUCCUUUCUAACCCUCUGACCCUAGACCUUUCAUUCACAAGACUAUUUUAUUUCCUUUAAUACUCAUAUCGCUCUAGGAAAUCACAUAUUUAAUGACUGGUUGGCUUUUUCUUGUUUGUCUCCUACAGACAAGAAUGUAAGUUCUGGAGACAUCAACCAUGUGUGACUUAUACAUCACUGUGUCCCCAGCACCUAGCCCCAUGACUGGCAUAGAAUAUGAAACCAAAAAAUAUAUGUUGACUGAAUGAGUGAGGCAGUGAUUUUGGGGUGGGCACUGAGACCCAGCUUUGCAGGAGCAUUGAGAACUGCAGUGAGGGAGAGGAUUGAGCCCAGGAACCAGCCUGGAGUGGGUUCCACCAGGAAGCUGGCUUGCUCCUCGCCCCACAGUGACCAAGUGUACUUAAUUAGCAGAGCUGAUUACGGAUGAGGGAGUCUGGAAAGGAAUUCCUAGCUCUCUGCUUCUCUCGGCCUCCUUGGCAGCUAGGAGAGGCCAUCUCCUUCCCACUGGAAAAUGUCCCUUCAGGCCCAGAGAGUGAGAGUGCCUCCUCCAUGUUUUGUGUCCCCAUUUGUCACUUGCUGCAGAUGAUAAGACCCAAAGGGAUGAUGACACCCCAGUGACCUUGGAGGCUGCCAUGUAAGCUGGCAGCCUGGCUCCCCAAACGAUGAUGGGGGACGUGAACAUCCUCCUUGGGGUGUCACAUGAGAAAGAAGCCAGCUUCUUGUGUUUUCAAUCACUGAACUUUGGUGGUUUGUUACUAAAGUGGAACCUAGCUAAUUAAUAUAUGGCUGUAUCCACUGUGUCUACUAUAUAGAAAGUGCUCAAUAAAUGUGUUGUUGAGCUCCCUGGGGAGGAAGAUCUGUUUAUUCCUGCAAAUGAAACAGAAUUGUAUUAACUAAAGGGGACUAGCUGUGUUUUCUUAUUUGCCCAGAUAGUGCUCAUGUCCUUCUUAACCCCCUAAGGUCAUCAAACUCACUGUGCAUGGGUCCCUCUCUCUGGGUUUAGCAAGGAACAAACAUAUAAAGCGGUGUCCUUUGAGGUACAAGCAAAGAGGAGUUGAUGAGGGACCCCUACAGUCAGAGAGAGGCAGCUAUAAUGGUCUCCCGCUCUAUCUAUGUCACCAAUAAGACACCCUGGGGGUAGAUGCCACAGUAUGAUUGGCUGCAUCUAUAAAAGAUUCCUGUGACGAAUUUCCAGGGAUUCUUUUGAUGGAAAUUCAUCUUAGCAGGUUGGUGCUAGAUCUUCCUGGAUCAACUGCUUUUUUUGACAUACCUCCACUCUCAGUCUGGUUCCCCGGCUCCUUUGUUCAAUGACCCUUGGAAUUUCUAUAGCCUGAGGCUUAGUAGCACACUCUUAAUUCAGUUCCUUUUAAGAGUUUUUGCAUGAAGCUUGACAAUUUUCUUCAUGCAGAGUCUUCAUCUGCCCUUACAGUGGACCUUGAUCUUGCUUUCACAGCUGCCACUACACUUGGGCACUGACAAAUCUC
Non-coding RNA from Equus caballus (horse), 10147 nucleotides. NCBI's taxonomy places the organism in Eukaryota, Metazoa, Chordata, Mammalia, Perissodactyla, Equidae. The record is from RefSeq and is a predicted model, not a curated record.